Molecule: small nucleolar RNA, 141 nt
Organism: Dioscorea cayenensis subsp. rotundata (Guinea yam)
Lineage: Eukaryota; Viridiplantae; Streptophyta; Magnoliopsida; Dioscoreales; Dioscoreaceae
Product: small nucleolar RNA snoR135
Exons: 1
Source: RefSeq, a predicted model, not a curated record
UCAGCAGGAUUGUGUAUUGGUGCUAUGCUCUAUAAAGCAUACCUGCCCUGAGUGUUUACUUGCUACAUUAAUUAUGCCGAAGAUGAGCAGUUGAGUUCUGACAUCUAAUUGUGCAUCUCAACAAUCAUCUUCCUCAUGUUU